UACGUAGGGACCGAGCGUUGUCCGGAAUCAUUGGGCGUAAAGAGCGUGUAGGCGGCCACUUAAGUCCUGCGUGAAAUCUUGCGGCUCAACCGCAAGCGGUCGUGGGAAACUGGGUGGCUAGAGUGCGGGAGAGGAGAGUGGAAUUCCCGGUGUAGCGGUGAAAUGCGCAGAUAUCAGGAGGAACACCAAUGGCGAAGGCAGCUCGCUGGGACGGUACUGACGCUGAGACGCGAAAGCGUGGGGAGCAAACAGG
This 253-nucleotide ribosomal RNA is filed under the name uncultured bacterium. Its description in RNAcentral is "partial 16S ribosomal RNA". It matches the Rfam family "Bacterial small subunit ribosomal RNA", at positions 524 to 776 of the family's 1533-position model. The record is from RNAcentral.